This 497-nucleotide ribosomal RNA is filed under the name uncultured bacterium. RNAcentral describes it as "partial 16S ribosomal RNA". It matches the Rfam family "Bacterial small subunit ribosomal RNA", at positions 28 to 507 of the family's 1533-position model. The record is from RNAcentral.
GAUGAACGCUGGCGGCGUGCCUAAUACAUGCAAGUCGAGCGAACGGACGAGAAGCUUGCUUUUCUGAUGUUAGCGGCGGACGGGUGAGUAACACGUGGAUAACCUACCUAUAAGACUGGGAUAACUUCGGGAAACCGGAGCUAAUACCGGAUAAUAUUUUGAACCGCAUGGUUCAAAAGUGAAAGACGGUCUUGCUGUCACUUAUAGAUGGAUCCGCGCUGCAUUAGCUAGUUGGUAAGGUAACGGCUUACCAAGGCAACGAUGCAUAGCCGACCUGAGAGGGUGAUCGGCCACACUGGAACUGAGACACGGUCCAGACUCCUACGGGAGGCAGCAGUAGGGAAUCUUCCGCAAUGGGCGAAAGCCUGACGGAGCAACGCCGCGUGAGUGAUGAAGGUCUUCGGAUCGUAAAACUCUGUUAUUAGGGAAGAACAUAUGUGUAAGUAACUGUGCACCUCUUGACGGUACCUAAUCAGAAAGCCACGGCUAACUACGUG